Molecule: unclassified non-coding RNA, 234 nt
Filed under: Schizothecium sp.
Lineage: Eukaryota; Fungi; Ascomycota; Sordariomycetes; Sordariales; Schizotheciaceae
Description: partial internal transcribed spacer region
Rfam family: Eukaryotic small subunit ribosomal RNA (bases 1-46)
Source: RNAcentral
AAGUCGUAACAAGGUCUCCGUUGGUGAACCAGCGGAGGGAUCAUUACAGAGUUGCAAAACUCCCAACCAUUGUGAACCUACCUCACCGUUGCUUCGGCGGGUGCCCCCCACCGGGGCCGCGCCGGCCCCCGUGCCGGCAGCCCGUCAGAAGACCAAAACUCUUCGUCAUCAGUGGCCUCUCUGAGUAACUUAUACAAUAAGUCAAAACUUUCAACAACGGAUCUCUUGGUUCUG